RNAcentral lists this ribosomal RNA (422 nucleotides) under uncultured bacterium. RNAcentral describes it as "bacterial SSU rRNA". It matches the Rfam family "Bacterial small subunit ribosomal RNA", at positions 28 to 454 of the family's 1533-position model. The record is from RNAcentral.
AACGAACGCUGGCGACAUGCUUAACACAUGCAAGUCGAACGCGCCCUUGGGCGUUCGGCCUGGGGGUGAGUGGCGCACGGGUGAGUAGCGCGUGGGAACCUGCCCUGUUGUGGGGGAUAACCGAGGGAAACUUCGGCUAAUACCGCAUACGCCCGGUGGAGCGAUCCAUCGGGGAAAGAGUUUAUCGCAGCAGGAGGGGCCCGCGUCGGAUUAGCUUGUUGGUGGGGUAACGCCUACCAAGGCGANGAUCCGUAGCUGGUCUGAGAGGAUGAUCAGCCACACUGGGACUGAGACACGGCCCCAGACUCCUACGGGAGGCAGCAGUGGGGAAUAUUGGACAAUGGCGCAAGCCUGAUCCAGCAAUGCCGCGUGAGUGAGGAGGCCUUAGGGUUGUAAAGCUCUUUCACCCACGACGAUGAUGA